UCUCCUUGGUCAGGCUGUCGAACCAUAGAGACGGCAUUGGUGUGACCCCUGGGGUCCUUCCAAAACCCUUCAGACUGGGGGCGUUUCCCUGCCUCUGGGUCUUCCUCAGGUCACUGUGGGCAGGUGGACAGAUGGAGCAGCGGCCACCCCUGUGCUGAGUGGGUGCCUGAGGCCACCGGCUCUGAGCCCAGGCGUGGGGGUGGGGGUGGGGGACACGCCAGGGUGUGGUGCCACCUCCCUGCACCACUAGGGUCUCCUCCACAGUGGUGACUCCAGGCUGAAAUGCGGACGCUCAGCACCCAUACCUGAAGCUCCAUGUGAUGGCCGCUCUGAGGGUCAGGGUCAGGCCACUGCUCUCACCAGCUGGGCUCCCCCAGCGUCUGGCCCUGGACAGCACUUGGUCAGGCGCCUGUUUCGCAACAGAGGAUAGCCUGAGGUCCAAGUUCAACAGCCUGGGCAGGCGGGAGGUCUGGACUGAGGCCUCUCCUGACCUAGGACCCCAUGGACCCCAGGAGAGGAAGCUGACUUGGGAGCCGCCCACCUUGCUGGCCGCCGCGGGCACCCACCUCCUUCUCAGACCUGAGUCUCGGUUUCCAGGAGGCCGAGGAUUCCGUGCCCAGCCGCGGGUUCGGUGGGCUGCUUGCUGAGAACCUGGGGAUCAGCUUGAG
This is a long non-coding RNA of Bos taurus (domestic cattle), 668 nucleotides long. The record is from Ensembl. NCBI's taxonomy places the organism in Eukaryota, Metazoa, Chordata, Mammalia, Artiodactyla, Bovidae.